Molecule: transfer RNA, 72 nt
Filed under: Mus musculus (house mouse)
Lineage: Eukaryota; Metazoa; Chordata; Mammalia; Rodentia; Muridae
Description: tRNA-Asn
Source: RNAcentral
GUGUGUGUGUUUCAGUGGUUGAACACUUGCCUAUUGCAAAGGAAACCCUGGGUUCCAUUCCCAGCAAAGGCA